This 30-nucleotide non-coding RNA is filed under the name Rattus norvegicus (Norway rat). Lineage: Eukaryota; Metazoa; Chordata; Mammalia; Rodentia; Muridae. The record is from RNAcentral.
UAAGGACAUGCCAGUAUUUGAAAGUACGAC